AUGGAACAAUGUAGGCAAGGGAAGUCGGCAAAACGGAUCCGUAACUUCGGGAAAAGGAUUGGCUAUGAGGACUGGGCUCGGGGGUCCCGGCCCCGAACCCGUCGGCUGUCGGCGGAUUGCUCGAGCUGCUCACGCGGCAAGAGCGGGUCGCCGCAUGCCGGCCGGGGGACGGACCGGGAAUCGCCCCUUCGGGGGCUUUCCCCGAGCAUGAAACAGUCAACUCAGAACUGGUACGGACAAGGGGAAUCCGACUGUUUAAUUAAAACAAAGCAUUGUGAUGGUCCUCGCGGAUGCUGA
This 297-nucleotide ribosomal RNA is filed under the name Triticum aestivum (bread wheat). Its description in RNAcentral is "partial small subunit ribosomal RNA". It matches the Rfam family "Eukaryotic large subunit ribosomal RNA", at positions 1890 to 2184 of the family's 3401-position model. The record is from RNAcentral. Lineage: Eukaryota; Viridiplantae; Streptophyta; Magnoliopsida; Poales; Poaceae.